GUCCUCCUGUUGCUUCCACAGGCUAUGUUCUUACACUGACUAUAUAAAGAGGAGGCAGACUAAACCCACUCCAUAUAUACCUCAGCCCAAGCUGUGCCUGGUCUGUAUUGUGAAUGGGGAGAUGAAU
Small nucleolar RNA from Dipodomys ordii (Ord's kangaroo rat), 127 nucleotides. Lineage: Eukaryota; Metazoa; Chordata; Mammalia; Rodentia; Heteromyidae. The record is from Ensembl.